AUGUGUUGUAUAUCUUUGUGAAUAAUGAGUUUGCAAGAGAGUUUUGCCACAUGCAAUGCCAACAACUCAUUGAUUAAAUCUUAAGAAUGUGGUCUGGAAGUUGUUACAAUAAGGAGUUAAGACUAGCUUAAAACCUUCUAUGGCAUAGAAUGCAUGGUUGUCGUAUAGUUGUAUGUUUGUUCUGUAACAGUGCUUCGGAAAGCAGAGAAUCUCAAGGGGGGCUGAGGUGGAAGGAGUCUUGGAGAGGAAACUUUGGGGAAAGAUUGCAUAUGAGAGAGGAGAUGGAAUUUUAGCCUCCUUUCUUCUAGAAGCUGUCUUUGGCCAUGUUUGCUUAAGCUGUAACUCUGAGCAGUGUGGCCUUCCUCUCCUGCCCACAGCUGAUUGCCCAAGGGGGCCUUUGACCCAUGCUUCUCUGGGAGUUAUGACUGAGGACUUAGAAUAACCCUAAUGGCAGAAAUUGUAAGAGACAAAGCUUGGGGUUGCUGACAGAGUGGUCCUACCCUUUGGGAAAGUCUGUGGUGAGAGGGAAGAACAAAGCCGGUUGUAGAGGGGGCUGGCUGGAGACUAAACUGGCAGGUUCGAGUGCCUGGCUUCAUCUGGUCCUGUCCUUGACUAGCCCAAGACAAUCCAGCAUCCUUGUGUAUUAGUUUCCUGUGGCUACUGUAACAACGUACUACAGACAAGGCAGCUUUAAACCAAAGAAAUUUAUUCUCUCCAAGCAGAAGACCCAGGUCAAGUUGUUGGCACAGUUGGUUCCCUUUGAGGGCCCUGAGGGAGGGAAGUUGUCCAGCUCCCUUCCAGCUUCUGGUCAUGCUCGGCAGUUCCUGGCAUUCCUUGAUAUGGAGAUGCAUCGCUCCACCCUCUUCCUCUGCUGUUGCACGAAUGCUGUCUGUGUCUCUUCCCAUUGCUUUCUCUCUGUGUGUCUGUCUCUAUGUCCCUUCUCCUCUCUUGAUAAGGAUGCCGGUCUUAUUGGAUGUGAGCCCCCCUAGUGACCUCAUCUUAACUUGAUCACAUCUGCCAAGACUGUGUUUCCAAAUCAGGUCACAUUUACCAGUGCUGGGGCGAAGACUUGGACACAGUUCUAAGGGGAGGGGCGACAUAAUUCCACCCAUAACACCUUGUAAUAUAUCUUUUUCCUUAAGCUUCCUGGAAAUGAUCUCUGUCUCUUGCUCUUUCACUGGGAUAUGCAGGGAGGGCACCUUGGGCUGAACUUGAAGAUCUGAAGGCUGAGUGAAUGUGAGGGAAGGAAAACUGAAGUGAAUUAGGGAAGGAUGAGCCGGUGUUGGGAGGGCAUAUUUCAUUAGGAGCUGAAUUACUAGAAUGACUCAAAAGAGAGGUUUGUGAGGCUGUGUAUCUGUCAGUUCAACAGAGGAGGACAGACAGGAUUAGAACUGUUGGGACUCUUGCCUUUGGAAGAGAGAGAAGCCCAGCUAAAAACUGCAUCAGUAAAGGAGAGAUGGAAUUCCUAGCACAUGUAGCUGGGAAGACCGAAGAUAUUAUGUAUAAAGCAAAAUAAAACAUAACCAUUGCUCUUUUCUGCGGAAAUAUCAAGAAGAGCCAAGAAAUGUCUUGUUAUGAUGUCUAGAAAUUAGUAAUAGCAAUAAUAAUAUUUUAAAAAAUGAGCACCCUACUAUAUUUGAAUAAAUUGGUGAGUGGCCAAUUUUAUUUAUUUAUUUGUUUGUUUGUUUCUUUGCCUUUUUAGGGCCACACCUGCUGCGGGCAUAUGGAAAUUUCUAGGCUAGGGAUCGAAUCAGAGCUGCAGCUGCCAGCCCACACCCCAGCCACAGCAACAAGAGAUCUGAGCCACAUCUGUGACCUACACCACAGUACACCACAAUGCCGUAUCCUUAACCCACUCAGUGGGGCCAGGAAUUGAACCUGUGUCCUCAUGGAUACUAUUUGGGUUUGUUACCACUGAGCCACAACAGGAACUCCAAAUGGCCAAUUUUUAAACUAAAUGAUUACUUAAGUUAUACACCGUAUUACAGGGGUCUAAAGAAAGAGAAAGCUUUUUUAACAGGAAAAGAUAGGAAAANNNNNNNNNNNNNNNNNNNNAAAAAAAAAAAAAAAAAAAAAAAAAAAAAAAAAAAAAAAAAAAAAGAACGGGGAUUGAUGUCUAGCUGGUUCAAACAACAGACGUCUAUUCCAGGGGCCCAGGAUGUGAGUCUGGGUGGAAGGAGGUGGAUGGUAAAUUCUUUGAGGUCUGGGUGAGGGCGUGGCUUCCCUGGAGAGGCGGAGCCAGGGGGUACCACGGAGGAGCCUGGGCGCAGCCAGGACAACACCUGAGUCCUGACUGCCUGGGGGUUAGGGAGGAGGAAGGUGUGGAUGUGUAGAAAUAAUGGGAGACCCCGGAGAUAGCCUUGCUUCCCGUGGAGGGUUGGAGAACAUGCUGGAAGGACGCUGUGCACUGGAGGGAUCAGUGGCUUUUAGCUCCUUGCUCCUUGAAGAUGGAAGUGGAUAGAGGCCCUUAUCCGGUUCCCCUUCUGUCCCUUGCUGAGAGUUUCUGGGGUAAGAUGGACUGUCCAUUGCAAGAAGCACCUGCUGUGUUUCUUGUGCUCAGGUGACACAGGUGGGCUCCCCCUUGGUCUCACAGCUGGGAAUCCUGAUCCUGAGAAAAGUCCUUCCUGUCUCUUCAGGGAGGUGGGGUGACAGGUGGGGACCCAAGACCUCCCAGGCCCCUCCUCUUCCCUGAGGCCCUUACUCAUCCCCCGCAGAGGCACCCGGCCUCUGGGUGUAGGACGCUUUGGAGGUUCUAAUCACCUUCCUGGUUACUCCUCCCAGCAGUUCUGAAUCCACAGAUGCUCAGUCACCUGUUUACAGACAGGGAACCUGGUUCAUAGCGUGAUUUAAACCCCAGACCUGGGAAAGUGUGGGCCGAGGCUGUCUUUCCACCUGGUUUAUGGCUUCCCUCUCUGAGCAGUGCUGCCCUUGGCUCUGCUGAGAGUUUAUAACCGGCUCUCAUUUUGGGUCUGGCAGAGCCCCCUCCGGACUCAUAGGAGAGAGGAAGGCAGCCCCCCUUUCUGUGUGAGACGCAUCUUUUCUCCUGCCUGGCUACAACAGUCGUAAGCAAGACUGCAGUAAAUAAAUAGUUCAGUUCCCACCGAAAUUGCCUAUGCUGGAAUUUGAGCCUUAAAAAGAAACAUGAAUGAUGACUAGGAGAGCGCAUUCCUUUAUUUGAACCCCGAUGAUUCUAACACAGAUAGUAGAAAUGUGAGAAGCCUCAGCUAAGUGUGUUCUCUGGGUUAUAAAUUCCUUUUCUCUCUAAUGCCCCUGCCUUAUCUGGAGAUUCUCUUGGCUGCACUUUCUUCUUUCAUGUCUGUCUCCUUUAUUCACUGUGUGUUCCUUCUUUUCUUGGGUUUUACUAGCUCAGCAGCUGCAGCUGAAUCAAGCCAAGAAUAUUUGCUCCGGGUGGCGGAGGAGUGCUCUCCCUAGCCCCCGUCCCUGCUCUCUCCAGUGUGCUGCUGCCCUUCUGUAACUCUGUCCUUUCCAGAAUCAACCCUCCCCGAGCUUGGUUAAAAAAAAGUGAGUGGAUGACAAAACAAUUCCACAUCACCAGGCUUGUUGGGCUUUCAUUACCUCCCUCAAAACCAAGCCCCCACCCAGCAGACUCUCAGAGUACCUUCUCUGGCUGUGUCUACAGGAUGCUUUGAAAUGUAUUCUUAUUUUUCAACAAAAGAGCAGUAUGACCAGAGGCACUGUUGAAGUAUCUUAUCAACCAAGAGGUUUUGUUGCUGAGGCCGUGGCAAAUAAUGGUGGUUCUGGCAAAAUGGGAAAAAAAAUGGUCACUCACAGUUCUCAGAACUUAUGCUUGAAGGAAGCACACCUUGUGUGUUUUGGGGGCAGUUGCAGCAUUCCUCAUGGAACUUAAAUCUACCCUGGGAGUUGUAAUUGAACUUGAAAACACCCAAGGCUGUGGUUUCAGCUCUGCAGAGGGGUACAUAGAAGGCAGCUUUGGGGAAGAUCGGGUCAAAAGGAACCUAGAGAAAGCAAGGGGAAGAGGAAAAAUAUGCUGUAAUGACAGAGAUAAGCCCAACUUUAUCAGCUGUGAUGAUAUAAAGAGGAAAUAAAAAUCAGGCCGAAACAAAAUGACUCCAAAAGUUUUAAAACUAAUUAAAAAGAUAAUGUAGCAAUAGCCAUGCAGAUAAACUGGAACUCAAAAUGAGAAGAACUGAGACAGAUAUUUCAUGUUAAUAAAAAUGAACAUGCACCAAGGAGAUAUACCAGCUUUGACACUAUAUGCCUCAUCUUUCACAUAUUUAUAGCUACAUUUCUUUGCGUUUUAAGGAGAAAUUGACAGCCAGAAUGGAAGAGGUUUUAACACAUCCCCCUGGUAUUGGGCUGAGCUGUGGCCCUAAAGUAUGUCAACAUACUAAUCCCUAGAACCUGUAAUUAUUACCUUGCUUGUAAAGAGUCUUUGCAAAUAUAAUUAAGAAUCUUGAGAUACAAUCAUCCUGGAUUAUCCAGGUGGGCUCUAAACGCCAUCACAAGUGUCCUGAUGGGAGAGAAGCAGCAGAAGGAGAUUAGACCCACACUGAGGAGGCCGUAUGAAGAUGGGGGUAGAGCUUGGAGUGAGGUAACCUCCAGCCAAGGAGUGUGAGCAGCCACCAGGAGCAAGAAGAGGCAGAGAACGGCUUCUCUCUUAGGGUCUCAGGAGGGAGACCUUGCUUUUGGACUUCCCAUCUCCAGAACUGUGAGAGAAUACAUUUCUCUUGUUUUAAGCCACUGAAUUUGUGGUAAUUUGUUAUGGCAGCUACAGGAAACAAAUGCAAUUCUCAAAAAACGAACAGAGCAAGUAAAAGAAUAAUAAAGAAUAUCAAGGAUUUUGACACAAGGGUUUAUAAAAAUUUUUUAAAAAGAAUAUCAGGGACUUGGAGUUCCCACAGUGGUUCAGCAGCAACAAAUCUGACUAGCAUCCAUGAGGACACAGCUUCAAUCCCUGGCCUUGCUCAGUAGGUUAAGGAUCCUGCAUUGCUGUGGCUGUGGUGUAGGCUGGCAGCUAGCUACAGCUCCGAUUCAACCCCUAGCCUGGGAACUUCCAUAUGUCGGGAGUGCAGCACUAAAAAGACACACACACACACACACACACAAAAGAAUAUCAGAGACUUGAAAAAUUUAACUAACUCUACAUCCAAGUAUGCUCAUUUAAAAAAUAUAUAGGAAAAUUUAUUAAAAUUAACCAGAGUUAAUUAGUCCAGAGUUCCUGUAAGGGCUUAUUGGAUUAAGGACCUGAUGUGACGUAGUCUCUGUGAGGAUUUGGGUUUGAUCCCUGGCCUCGCUCAGUGGAUUAAGGAUCCAGCAUUGCCACAAGCUGUGGGAGAGGUCACAGAUGCGGCUCGUAACUGACAUUGCUGUGCCUGUGGUGUAGGCCUGCAGCUGCAGCUCCAUUUUGACCACUAGCCUGGGAACUUCCAUAUGCGGCAGUUGAGGCUGUAAAAAGAAAAAAAAA
Molecule: long non-coding RNA, 5446 nt
Filed under: Sus scrofa (pig)
Lineage: Eukaryota; Metazoa; Chordata; Mammalia; Artiodactyla; Suidae
Description: lncRNA (ENSSSCG00025041232.1)
Source: RNAcentral